CGAUAGCCGAUGGACAGAUGGACAAACAGAAGAUGAACCAUAACGGAUGGCCACCAGGAUCAAGGGGAGACUUUUCGAUACCCUUUUCUACGUACAUAUGCCAAUAGCUAAGCAAUAGAUAUAGAAAAUAUAUAAAUCAAAUCUGAAGUAGAAGCAGAACGGAACGUAUCUCAAAUAAUACAAAGCAAAAAAAAAAAAGGAAAGAAAAGGGAAAAAGUCGGUCUAGAAUGGGCGAGAGAGAGUUGGAAGAUUACGAUGCAGUGAUGUGGGAAGACCGGCGGGACUUUCGGGAGAUAUUGUUGCAAUUUAAUAAUGCGUUCAAACACUUAAAUAGAACUAUGCUAAAAUUUUUUUUCUUCAUCUUUAUUGGCAUACUCAUUGGCAAAUAUGUAUUAUAGAUUAAACAAAUUUAAAAUCAUUUAAAUAAAUGUAUAUGCCGUCUCUA
This is a long non-coding RNA of Drosophila obscura, 445 nucleotides long. RefSeq lists it as uncharacterized. The transcript is spliced from 3 exons. The record is from RefSeq and is a predicted model, not a curated record. Lineage: Eukaryota; Metazoa; Arthropoda; Insecta; Diptera; Drosophilidae.